Non-coding RNA from Petromyzon marinus (sea lamprey), 395 nucleotides. The record is from RefSeq and is a predicted model, not a curated record. NCBI's taxonomy places the organism in Eukaryota, Metazoa, Chordata, Hyperoartia, Petromyzontiformes, Petromyzontidae.
GCCCCCUCCCCCGUGGGCGGGGCUUGUUAUAUUAGGCGCGGUGACGUCACGGUUGAUUGACAGGCGGGGUGCGACAGCGCGUCGGACGAGGUGGCCGGAGGAGACGAGACCCCGCGUUCACCGCAGUGCCGGGGGACAUGAGGAGGAGGCGCUGGUCGGACGAGUGGGGAAUCGGUAACGCCCGCCCUCACCGAAACCCUCACCGGCACCGGCGCCGUCUCCUCCGCGCCGCGCCGCGGCUACGCCGGGAUCUCCUCUCGGUCUCGCCAGCGAUUUGCCGGGCGGCACGGUUCGUCGCCGGCUGCUGAAGUUUCGCCGUUGGUUUUGGUUACCACCAGCAGUGUUUUGUACGAAGCUCGCGAAUUGAUCGCGUCCGUGUUAAUUUUCCAUGGGGG